ACGAAGGUGGCUAGCGUUGUUCGGAAUCAUUGGGCUUAAAGCGGGCGCAGGCGGAAAGGUAAGUGUCUUGUGAAAUCCCCCGGCUUAACCGGGGAAUCGCUGGGCAUACUGCCUUUCUUGAGGCAAGCAGGGGUACAUGGAACUCUUGGUGGAGCGGUAGAAUGCGUAGAUAUCAAGAAGAACGCCAGUGGAGAAGUCGGUGUACUGGGCUUGUUCUGACGCUGAGGCCCGAAAGCGUGGGUAGCAAGCAGGAUUAGAUACCCUGGUAGUCCACGCCGUAAACGAUGUCUACUAGGCUGUGGAGGUUCUGACACCUUCGCGGCCGAAGCAAAAGUGUUAAGUAGACCGCCUGGGGAGUACGGCCGCAAGGCUA
This 373-nucleotide ribosomal RNA is filed under the name uncultured bacterium. RNAcentral's name for it is "bacterial SSU rRNA". It matches the Rfam family "Bacterial small subunit ribosomal RNA", at positions 525 to 896 of the family's 1533-position model. The record is from RNAcentral.